RNAcentral lists this long non-coding RNA (236 nucleotides) under Citrus maxima (pomelo). RNAcentral describes it as "long non-coding RNA (CMAX_LNC002219)". The record is from RNAcentral. Lineage: Eukaryota; Viridiplantae; Streptophyta; Magnoliopsida; Sapindales; Rutaceae.
CUGGGGAUUUCUUGGGUUUUGUCGGAUGUUCUGGUUUAGCUUCUGGUUUAGGUUCAGGUUUAGUUUCUGGCUUAGUUUCUGGUUUAGGCAUCGUCAACUGUUCUGGUGGUUUAUUUUGAACCGGAAAGGGCGAUUCAGGUUCUUUCGUUGUUGCCUCAGUCACAGUUGCUUCAUCAGUACGUGUAUGAUUAGAAACUGACUCAUCACUUGCUCGGGGCCGCCACAUUGCAGCAGAA